Molecule: unclassified non-coding RNA, 90 nt
Filed under: Pseudomonas mohnii
Lineage: Bacteria; Pseudomonadati; Pseudomonadota; Gammaproteobacteria; Pseudomonadales; Pseudomonadaceae
Source: RNAcentral
UGUGGGAGCGGGCUUGCCCGCGAUGACGGAGUGUCAGUCGAUAUCGUUGGCACCUGAUACACCGCUAUCGCGGGCAAGCCCGCUCCCACA